CACGUAGGGGGCGAGCGUUGUCCGGAAUCAUUGGGCGUAAAGAGCUCGUAGGCGGCUCAAUAAGUCGGGUGUGAAACCUCCAGGCUCAACCUGGAGACGCCACCCGAUACUGUUGUGGCUAGAGUCCAGUAGGGGAGUGUGGAAUUCCCGGUGUAGCGGUGAAAUGCGCAGAUAUCGGGAGGAACACCAGCGGCGAAGGCGGCACUCUGGGCUGGUACUGACGCUGAGGAGCGAAAGCGUGGGUAGCAAACAGG
RNAcentral lists this ribosomal RNA (254 nucleotides) under uncultured bacterium. Its description in RNAcentral is "partial 16S ribosomal RNA". It matches the Rfam family "Bacterial small subunit ribosomal RNA", at positions 524 to 776 of the family's 1533-position model. The record is from RNAcentral.